Molecule: unclassified non-coding RNA, 269 nt
Filed under: Lentomitella cirrhosa
Lineage: Eukaryota; Fungi; Ascomycota; Sordariomycetes; Xenospadicoidales; Xenospadicoidaceae
Description: partial contains 5.8S ribosomal RNA, internal transcribed spacer 2, and large subunit ribosomal RNA
Source: RNAcentral
CGCACAUUGCGCCCACUAGCACUCUAGUGGGCAUGCCUGUUCGAGCGUCAUUACAACCCUCAGGCUAUCCCCGAGAGGGGAAUAAGCCUGGCGUUGGGGCGCUACAACGCGAUUAUGCGCUGUAGGCCCCGAAUUUUAGUGGCGGGCCCGCCGGGACCUCAGCGUAGUAGAUUCUAUCGCUCGGGCCGUUCCGGCGCGCGCACGGCCGUUAAAUCCCCUAACCUUACAAGGUUGACCUCGGAUCAGGUAGGAAUACCCGCUGAACUUAA